Long non-coding RNA from Otolemur garnettii (small-eared galago), 315 nucleotides. RefSeq lists it as uncharacterized. The transcript has 3 exons. NCBI's taxonomy places the organism in Eukaryota, Metazoa, Chordata, Mammalia, Primates, Galagidae. The record is from RefSeq and is a predicted model, not a curated record.
GAGAGAGAGCAGAGAAUUGGAAACUUAACGGCAGAGUCUUGGGAACCCUCACAGUUAGGAGGGGGAAAAGAAGGUCAGUUCAACUGCUGAGAGAGAUGGCGAAGGUGGGGCCAUGGAAGGCGUGAGGAGACAGUUGAAAUUUCGUGAUGGUGGACGAAGAAGGCAGGAGACCAUGAUGAAGCCGUUGGAGCUUAGAAAGACCAAAAUAACUGUCCUAGGAUGAACAGCGACGGGGCUGGGAUUUCAGGCCAGGCAGCUUGACGGGAAUGCCCAGGCCGUCCAGCACUGAGCUCAGUUGCCAUCUUGCUUGGAGCA